UACAGAGGGUGCAAGCGUUAAUCGGAAUUACUGGGCGUAAAGCGUGCGCAGGCGGUUCGUUGUGUCGGCGGUGAAAGCCCCGGGCUCAACCUGGGAAUGGCCGUUGAAACUGGCGAACUGGAGUGUGGCAGAGGGGGGUGGAAUUCCGCGUGUAGCAGUGAAAUGCGUAGAGAUGCGGAGGAACACCGAUGGCGAAGGCAGCCCCCUGGGCUGACACUGACGCUCAGGCACGAAAGCGUGGGGAGCAAACAGG
RNAcentral lists this ribosomal RNA (253 nucleotides) under uncultured bacterium. RNAcentral describes it as "partial 16S ribosomal RNA". It matches the Rfam family "Bacterial small subunit ribosomal RNA", at positions 524 to 776 of the family's 1533-position model. The record is from RNAcentral.